UAUGGCCAUAUCACAUAGAAACAACGGUUCCCGCACGAUCAGGGAAGUUCAGCAACGUCAAGCCUGAUCAGUACCUAGAUAGGUGACCGCUUGAGAAUACCAGGUGUUGUAAG
Non-coding RNA from Acanthosepion pharaonis, 113 nucleotides. Lineage: Eukaryota; Metazoa; Mollusca; Cephalopoda; Sepiida; Sepiidae. The record is from the annotation of a GenBank genome assembly.